UCAUGAUAUUCUGUCUAGCUUCAAGCCGACCGCUCUUUCUCAAUCCUGUGAUUCGGAAUCCCUUUGUAGGUUAACUCUUAACCGUGCGUAGCAUGGCUACGCAUUUUCGGAUCCGAUCACUCGAGGGGACCAGAGAUAUCACUCUCAAUCAGAGAGGGGCAAAUUCCAUCUUGAUUGACCAUGUCUCACAACAUGCUUCUUGACAAACCUGAAAGCUACCUUUAUAACUACCCUGUUACGGCGUAGCGUUUGAUAACCCCUAAGUAGGUCGAUCCACAUCUUGAAUACAUGCGACAAUCUCAGGUCUAAGGACAAAGCAUAUAUGUUGUUUAAAGAGAGAACUACUUCUCGUGUUGGGUCAGUCCUAGCACAUGUCUCCACAUGUGCCCACAUUUUUAGUUCAACAUCUCCAUGUCCAUGACUUGUGAAACAUAGUCAUCAACUAAUACAUGUGCUAGUCUAAUAUUCAUAUGUGUCCUCACAUGAACUCCGACUAGGGAUAACUUUAGAAUAACCAUACAAGCAAAGAGUUUCACACACAAUUCACAUAAUUGCAAAUCAAUUCAAGUAGCCUUUAAUGGAUAUUCAAGGAACACAAUAUAAAUCAUGGAUACAAAUGGAAUAUCAUCAUCUCUAUGAUUGCCUCUAGGGCAUACCUCCAACAGUCUCC
RNAcentral lists this long non-coding RNA (670 nucleotides) under Setaria viridis. RNAcentral's name for it is "long non-coding RNA (SVIR_LNC004571)". The record is from RNAcentral. Lineage: Eukaryota; Viridiplantae; Streptophyta; Magnoliopsida; Poales; Poaceae.